GGAGGAAAAGAAACCAACAGGGAUUGCCCCAGUAACGGCGAGUGAAGCGGCAACAGCUCAAAUUUGAAAUCUGGCCCCUCGGGCCCGAGUUGUAAUUUGUAGAGGAUGCUUUUGGCAAGGUGCCGCCCGAGUUCCCUGGAACGGGACGCCGCAGAGGGUGAGAGCCCCGUCUGGCUGGCCGCCGAGCCUUUGUAAAGCUCCUUCGACGAGUCGAGUAGUUUGGGAAUGCUGCUCAAAAUGGGAGGUAUAUGUCUUCUAAAGCUAAAUAUUGGCCAGAGACCGAUAGCGCACAAGUAGAGUGAUCGAAAGAUGAAAAGCACUUUGAAAAGAGGGUUAAACAGUACGUGAAAUUGUUGAAAGGGAAGCGCUCAUGACCAGACUUGGGCUUGGCGGAUCAUCCGGCGUUCUCGCCGGUGCACUUCGCCUCGCCCAGGCCAGCAUCAGUUCGCGCCGGGGGACAAAAGUUUCGGGAAUGUGGCUCCUCCGGGAGUGUUAUAGCCCGUUGCAUAAUACCCUGGUGCGGACUGAGGUUCGCGCAUCUGCAAGGAUGCUGGCGUAAUGGUCAUCAGCGACCCGUCUU
This 580-nucleotide ribosomal RNA is filed under the name Cladobotryum sp. KNU001. RNAcentral's name for it is "eukaryotic LSU rRNA". It matches the Rfam family "Eukaryotic large subunit ribosomal RNA", at positions 52 to 655 of the family's 3401-position model. Lineage: Eukaryota; Fungi; Ascomycota; Sordariomycetes; Hypocreales; Hypocreaceae. The record is from RNAcentral.